CUUGCCAAUACAAGCAAGUCAUGUGCAGAGAGCUGCAGUAUGAUAUGGUACUAUUUCCCUCUCUAGAGUAGCUCCUUGGCUCCAUCUGAGAUACUUUAGUAAUCAUAACAACUAAAAAGCCACUUAUGGUUUCCUUUUUAGUGAACUGACCUACUGGUGAAAGAAUGAGUGAAAAUCUAGAGCAGGAAAUGAGAGAAAUGGUUUCUUCUCUUCCCACCUACCCUCCAACCCCCAUUCACUUUAAUCCUACAAAGAAAUGCAUCUUUGUAAAUCUCUCAAUACUUGAUUUAUUAAAAGUGCCCAGGGAUUUCGUUUUUUUAACUUCUUUUUUUAUUUGUCUUAUAUUUAAUAAAUAAGUUGAGAAAAUAAGGAAUCAAGUUGUACAUGAAUUCUCAAGGUAGGGCCUAUCACCUCCUCCCACACCACCCCCCUUUUAGGGGGAUGCACUAGGGUGCAUAAUAAGGAAAAGAGCAGAAUUUAAUAAGAUCUAGAAAUUAUUUUAUCACCUUUUAAAAUAAAUUAGGUAUACAUUUGGUUAUUCCAAUUGUAUUCUCCUUAGGUGUGCUAAAAAUAAAGAAAUUAGUGUGGAAUUCUGAGAAUCUCUGUCUUCAUGUGGUUGAAUAAAGUAUUAUAGGACUUACUUUAUUAUUAUUAUUAUUAUUUUUAAGUAUAUAAAUCUGAUCCUGAGAUUAGUUUACAUCUUUAAAAGUUAGUCAGGUGAGGCAGCUAGGUAUCAAAGUCGAUAGAGCACCAGCCCUGAAGUUAGAAGGACCUGAGUUCUAAUCUGACCUCAGACACUUAACACUUCCUGUGUGACCCUGCAGCAAGUCACUUAACACCAGUUGCCUCAGCAAAAAAAAACCAAACACACAUUUUUUUUUUGUUUUGUUUUGUUUUUAGUUUUUCCUUCCCCUCCCCUUGGGUGUGAGGAGGGGAUUGUAAAGAUAAUGAUUAAAAAGAAAGGAUUUAUUCCAAGGAAUUGUAGGGUUUCUCUUAAGUCCCUGCAGUCCCAUGAAUUAGGGUGUUUAUUUCAUAGUUUUACUGCUGCAGAAUAGAUAUAGGAACAAACUCUUUCAAAAGAAUAGGAAACACAUUUUAGUGGCUUCCAUACAUUUUAAAGAGGUUUUAAUCAGUUAACUGCUUAUGUAUCCAUAUUUAUGUGACUAAAUAUUUGUAUCUUAGACAUUGAACAUUAGAUCCAAUGUACAUGUGUCACAGUUUUGUUUUUUUUUUAAAUGGAGAUCAUAUAUUCCUUCAAACCACUUCAGUGAUUCAGACAGUACCAUGCACCCAAUAGGCAU
This 1301-nucleotide long non-coding RNA is filed under the name Sarcophilus harrisii (Tasmanian devil). Its description in RNAcentral is "lncRNA (ENSSHAG00000029027.1)". Lineage: Eukaryota; Metazoa; Chordata; Mammalia; Dasyuromorphia; Dasyuridae. The record is from RNAcentral.